This 591-nucleotide long non-coding RNA is filed under the name Homo sapiens (human). RNAcentral describes it as "HSALNT0030405". Lineage: Eukaryota; Metazoa; Chordata; Mammalia; Primates; Hominidae. The record is from RNAcentral.
GACCAAGAAGGGAGUUAUGGUGUUGGCUGGGAUGAUUGAUCGGGACUACUAAAUUGGAUACUCCACAAUGCUGGAAGAUCUCUGUGACUGCCUGGACAAAUAAGUACUGCAGAAGGGCUACUGUGUUAUUUAUGAGGCUGGAUCCUAAAAAUGCCAUGCACUUCCACCUUCUUCUCUUGGAAUGUUUAUUCUUGGAACCCAUCAGUCACGCUAUGAGAAAGCUCAGAUGAACCCCUGGAGAAAGCACCCGGAGAGGCCACGUGUAAGUUUUCCAUCUGAUAGCCCAGCUGAGGUGCGAAACAAUAUCCAGCUUCAAGUACCAAACAAGUGAAUGAUGAUACCGCCAGAUGAUUCUGUUGCUCAGCAAUCAAGUCACUCCAUACUUUGAGUCUUCUUAGCUGAGGCUCUAGACAUUGUGGAGAGAUAAAUUGUCCCUGCUGUGCUCUGUUCUGAUUACUGACUCACAGAAUCUAUGAGUAGAACCCAUUGGUUACUUUAUGCUACAAAGUUUUUGGGUGGUUUGUUACACAGCAAUAGAUAACUGAUAACAGUAUCUGAUCAUAUGAUCAUUUGGUAAUUCUUUCAUCAUUU